ACUGAAAGACUCCUGGGUAGAACGUUUGGA
RNAcentral lists this non-coding RNA (30 nucleotides) under Cricetulus griseus (Chinese hamster). Lineage: Eukaryota; Metazoa; Chordata; Mammalia; Rodentia; Cricetidae. The record is from RNAcentral.